AAUACGGGGAGCUGGGUAGGCCCGGCUGAGAUGAGAUAAACGUGAAUCUCAAAACCCAUGAACCUGAUCCGGGUAAUGCCGGCGUAGGAAACAGAG
Molecule: non-coding RNA, 96 nt
Filed under: human gut metagenome
Source: RNAcentral